This 65-nucleotide transfer RNA is filed under the name Chlorarachnion reptans. Lineage: Eukaryota; Cercozoa; Chlorarachniophyceae. The record is from RNAcentral.
UGUUAAAAAAAAGAAUAUUGAUAUAUUUUUAUAGUAAAACAUUAGCCUAUUACAGGAAUCGAACC